Molecule: ribosomal RNA, 96 nt
Filed under: Triticum aestivum (bread wheat)
Lineage: Eukaryota; Viridiplantae; Streptophyta; Magnoliopsida; Poales; Poaceae
Description: partial small subunit ribosomal RNA
Source: RNAcentral
AUGCCCUAUCGAGCAUCUUAUCCCAUCUUAAAGUUGGUUUAUUCGGCAGCCGCAAAUGCUACUCAUUAUAGGGAUUUCGACAAAGCGUUGAGCUAA